RNAcentral lists this transfer RNA (96 nucleotides) under Pseudozyma flocculosa. RNAcentral's name for it is "Anthracocystis flocculosa transfer RNA-Tyr(GTA)". It matches the Rfam family "tRNA". From Rfam's summary of the family: Transfer RNA (tRNA) molecules are approximately 80 nucleotides in length. Their secondary structure includes four short double-helical elements and three loops (D, anti-codon, and T loops). Lineage: Eukaryota; Fungi; Basidiomycota; Ustilaginomycetes; Ustilaginales; Ustilaginaceae. The record is from RNAcentral.
CCGAGCUUAGCUCAGGUGGCAGAGCGAUGGUCUGUAAGCGUGGCUUCGAAAGGAAACGAUCACCAUAGGUCACCAGUUCGACCCUGGUAGCUCGGA